Alosa sapidissima (American shad) is the source of this 676-nucleotide long non-coding RNA. RefSeq lists it as uncharacterized. The record is from RefSeq and is a predicted model, not a curated record. Lineage: Eukaryota; Metazoa; Chordata; Actinopteri; Clupeiformes; Clupeidae. The transcript has 3 exons.
ACACACACACACACACACACACACACACACACACACACCACCACCACCAUCAGACCCAGACAGUUCCAGAAAAGAAAAACACAGUCAGCGAGGGGGCCAACCAGCUGAUAGCUUCCAACAACAGACACCAGAGCAGAGCUGUAUCGGAUCCCUGACAAGCCCGCUCUUCUUUCUUAAUGCGGCCGCUUCAAAAGGCCGGCAUGUUUGACUGAAUUCAUUGUUGAGGCACACAAUGGUGUCAUUAUGGCAUGAGUGAAUGUGGGAGUCCUAAAGGGAUGAGUCAUGCCACAUGAGGAGAAGAGAACUGAACCACUAGGCCAGGUUGUCUACCUGUGAACAGGGACCUGACUCACUAGGGCAAGCCUGAGUCACUCUGAAGUACUGGGGAGCAGAUGAGAAAUCACUGAGGGAAACUUCCUCCAACAAGCUCACAGAGAUUAUUUUCUUUAUCUGUACUAUUGUGUGUGUGGACAUAUCCACACCUGCCCAUGAAACCCUGCAAGUCAGGGAUUGGAAAAGGACAAAUGUCAAUCUUACCAAUCUGGGCACUGUGAGGAGGGUGGUAAGACAAGCAAAAAGUUCCCUAAGGAUCACUGUUGGAGAGUUGCAGAUAAAAGUCUCACCUUGGGGUCACCAAGAAUAAAAAAAAAACACCAAAAGUGACCUCAAAAGGUCU